Molecule: long non-coding RNA, 346 nt
Organism: Lepus europaeus (European hare)
Lineage: Eukaryota; Metazoa; Chordata; Mammalia; Lagomorpha; Leporidae
Exons: 3
Source: RefSeq, a predicted model, not a curated record
GCUGCUGUCCCGGGGGCAGCAGCAAGGGGCCCCGUCCCUCCGGCACAGCCCGCCCGCCCCGCGCUUCUCCUGAACUCAAGGGAGAGCGUGCAUGCAGUCCCCACUACCACAAAUUAUGCAGUCGAGUUUCCACAUGUGGGGAAAUCGCAGCGGUCAGCACUCCCGCAGUGCAAUGGGAGAGCCUCGCCCUGGGAAAAGCACCUGCCUGAUCAUGGUGUCUCCCCUGCCAGGGUCUAGGUUUCUGCAGUAUCUGACAUCUGUCAGGCCCCAGCGAGGACAAGGGAAGCACUCUUAGUUCUCCCAAGUAAAAGGGACGGAAUGUGUGGCGUUGUCUGCAUAGGAGGUG